This 508-nucleotide ribosomal RNA is filed under the name bacterium enrichment culture clone DWBac28. RNAcentral describes it as "bacterial SSU rRNA". It matches the Rfam family "Bacterial small subunit ribosomal RNA", at positions 1 to 524 of the family's 1533-position model. The record is from RNAcentral.
UAGAGUUUGAUCCUGGCUCAGGACGAACGCUGGCGGCGUGCUUAACACAUGCAAGUCGAACGGAAAGGCCCUUGCUUGCAGGGGUACUCGAGUGGCGAACGGGUGAGUAACACGUGGGUGAUCUGCCUUGUACUUCGGGAUAAGCCUGGGAAACUGGGUCUAAUACCGGAUAGGACCAUGCUUUAGUGUGUGUGGUGGAAAGUUUUUUCGGUACAAGAUGAGCCCGCGGCCUAUCAGCUUGUUGGUGGGGUAAUGGCCUACCAAGGCGACGACGGGUAGCCGGCCUGAGAGGGUGUACGGCCACAUUGGGACUGAGACACGGCCCAGACUCCUACGGGAGGCAGCAGUGGGGAAUAUUGCACAAUGGGCGCAAGCCUGAUGCAGCGACGCCGCGUGAGGGAUGACGGCCUUCGGGUUGUAAACCUCUUUCGCUAGGGAAGAAGCCACUUGUGGUGACGGUACCUGGAUAAGAAGCACCGGCUAACUACGUGCCAGCAGCCGCGGUAAU